This 3106-nucleotide long non-coding RNA is filed under the name Lynx pardinus (Iberian lynx). The record is from RNAcentral. Lineage: Eukaryota; Metazoa; Chordata; Mammalia; Carnivora; Felidae.
AGAAGAUGCAAAUUCUUACAAGGAUUAGGCCAUUGUGAAGGCAGCAGUCCUCAACAUUCUACAAGUCUGGUAAACCAGCAUGCAGAGAACGUGCCGUUUUGAAUGGCCUGCCUUCCCCGCACAGCCUCGCCCCACAAUAGCAUGUAUCGGGGUGUUGAGGGUUUCCUGAGAGCUGGGCAUGGCAGGUAGAAGAGUGGAACGUUCUACUGGAGCACCUUGGCUUGGAUUCCAACACUGUCAGGGACCAACUGUUACUUCUGUCUUUUUUUGUGUGCCUUUUUGGCUCUUCUGUCAGAUGAUUAAGCCCACUGCCCACCCUGGGUUGAGAGGACCUAAUUCGAUGAAUAGAUGAGAAUGUGCUUGGUAGUCCCUAGGGAACUAGGAACCAGUGAAUGAGGGAAAUCACUAGAGACUUCCCACCCACCCAUCAGUGUGCACGUUAAUUCACCAGGUCACUUGAGCUGCCGUGUGCAGGGCACUGUGCAGAGCACGUGGGGAAGACAGACGGGCCUCCACCCUUCAUGGACUUGAUGGUCGUGGGGCAGGGUGACCCCUAGAUAAACAGAAACCAGAAAAAAUUUAAAAAUCAAAUUGUUACAGGGGCACCUGGGUGGCUCAGUUGAUUAAGCGUCCGACUUUGGCUCUGACCUGUUCUGAUCAUGACUUUUGUCACGAUCUCACAGUUCCCGAGUUCAGGGCCCCGCGUCGGGCUCUGUGCCGACAGCAGCCUGAAGCCUGCUUCAGAUUCUGCGUCUGCUUCUCUCUCUGCCUCUUCCCUGCUUGCGCCCUGUCUCUCUCUCUCUCAAAAAAAAAAAAAAAAUACCAAUUUUUUUAAAUAAAAAAAAAAUCAAAUUGUUACAGGCGUAGCAAUGGAAGCAGUUGGGGAACUGAGAGAAAACAAGAGGCAGCCGGUGAGGAUUUUUGGAGGGUGAGGUGGAUUAAUUUUAUUUAGUUUUGGUUGAUGGACACCUUUUGCCAGAGUAGCUCCAGACUGGUCCCAGGAAUCCCAAGUUUGCACCCCAGUUCUGAUCUGCCAGUGAUUAAAGCAGCUUUUUCUUUUUUUUAAUAAUUGCUUUAAGUUUAUUUGUUUAUUUUGAGAGAGACAGAGAGACAGAAUCCCAAGCGGGCUAUGUAGGGUCAGUGGAGAGCCCGAUGUGGGAUCAUGACCUGAGCCCAAAUCAGGAGUGGGACGCUUCACUGACUGAGCCACCCCCCUGCCCCUUAAAGCAGCUUUUAAUAGAGUUUCUGUCCAUAUCUCUGCAAAAUUUAUUCAGUUCUGAAAUUUGAGGUAUAUUCUUUUAAGUGUUUUUUUUUAACUGAAAUGUACUGCAUAAACAAAAGUGCACAUUAUUCUAAAUGCACACCUCAGUGGGUUUUCACAAACUGAACACACCCGAGUAACCCACACAUCAGACCAUCCACCACAGCCCCCAUGCACACCGCCCCUGCUGCUUGGGUGAAUGUUUUUAAAACUUGUAAUGCUGUAUGUUUCUUUAAACGUGUAUUAGGGAAAACAUACAAAUAUAACCGUUCAAUCAAAAUGACAGCUUCAGGGCUCUUACUGCUUAGCAUGUGAGUAAAGCAGCAUUUAAGUACAAAAGGUUGGUUACCAUGAUGAAAAUGCGUAAGUGAGAGCACCAAGCCUUAAUUGUAUCCUAAUGAUGAAAAUGCGUAAGUGAGAGCACCAAGCCUUAAUUGUAUCCUAAUGAUGGCAUCCGUUUUGGUGGUUAAUGACAAGGAAGUGCCUGAAUGACCAAAGUUUGGUAAAUGUCGGGUUAACCCGCGUGAAGACACUUUGUUCCUUUGGGAAACAGCAGUGCCAUUUUGUUCUGACGUUUGAGUGGAGAGGAUUUAAGUCACACAUUAGGAACUGUGCACUGGGUCUGAGCGGAAUCUCCCUGAUGUUCUCAUUUGCUGCCUGUGUCGCUCCUGCAGGAAUGGGGCUCCUCCGGCCCGUCUUGGGGACUUGGGUCUGGGUUCUUCAUCUGCAGCUCUUAGAUUCACGCUGCACGCUGGCCUCGCGUUGACUGUGUAUGUCAGCCCCCCAUGUGUUGUCACACAUGGACUUAACCGUGAUGAAUGCGUUCCCAGAUGGGCCUGUAAUGACUCCGUUAACUUAACCCCGAAUCAAGACUCUCCUGUCCAGAACCAGGGUAGCAGAAACCCAGUACAGCCUGAGUAGCAAUUCAAAAGGGCAGCAGAGACAGCUAAUCAGUUCAUAAUGAGCAAGGAGACAAGCAAUGAAAAGAGAGCCCAAGGACGGCCUGAUAGUUUCACAAAGUCUCAGCACUCAACCAGGCUCAUGUUAAUAAAAUAAACAAAUGUUUUUGGUCACGGAGAGCUAAUGUGUACAUUAUUUAAGGAUAAUAUUAAAACCAGAUUAGAUGGGUCAAGUAACACAGUGGUUCCCUCAUUAAGCAUCUUCUCUUUGGAGAUGUGGGAAAGUUGCUCUCUUUCUGUUUUUCUUCUUUCCUUGUGAAAUGGGGCUUUAUUAAUUAGAGAUGUAAUGGGAAAUCUUUUUUUCUUUUCCCCCAGACUAGUGGCUGUUUUCUGUUUAUUUUUUAAUGUAGGACCAUGCUUUGCAGAUGUUCUCUUUGAAAUAAAAGCCUAUUCAUUGUCUCUCUUUCUCUCUCUCUUUUAUCCCCAGCUCCGAAGGGGCAGCCGUUGUAAAAGACACAAACAGAGAACCCCAUUUACUUGUCAUCAGGCGGUUACAGAAGAUUCCAUCCCUGAUGUAAAAUACUCUCAUUACCUGCUUUUUCCCCCCCUGUAGCCCCAUUGAGGGAUAGUUUUUGAAUUGUUGCAUCUGAUUCUCUCUUGUUUAGAAGACGAGGUGAUGACAGUGAACGGGUUAGAGAAGGUAACGCGGAGGUGGGGUGCAUUCACGGAAAACGGCCGGGUCUGCAACUGGGCCUGGCCUGGAUUCACUCUUCUGAGGUCAAGAGGCUGACUGCUGUUUUGACUCUCUUUUAGGGUAAAAAAAAUAAAAAAAACCAAAUCAUGUGGAGCAAACAAACCCUCUGUCGGAAGGACAGCAGGCGGUAUGAACCCCCAACAAGAGUGGACACUUUCUAGAAAAUCCCUUUGGGCCACAGAUGGAAUAAAG